CCUACGGGAGGCAGCAGUGAGGAAUAUUGGUCAAUGGUCGCAAGCCUGAACCAGCCAAGUCGCGUGAGGGAUGACGGUCCUAUGUAUUGUAAACCUCUUUUGUCGGGGAGCAAGGCCCGGCACGUGUCGCCGGAAGGACGGUACCCUAAGAAAAAGCAUCGGCUAACCCCGGUCAGGCAGCCGCGUUAAUACGGAGGAUGCGGGCGUUAUCCGGAUUUAUGGGGUUUAAGGGGGGGGUAGGCGGAAGGUUAAGUCAGCGGUAAAAGGUCGGUGCUCAACACCGGCCUGCCGUUGAAACUGGUAGUCUUGAGUGGGCGAGAAGUAUGCGGAAUGCGUGGUGUAGCGGUGAAAUGCAUAGAUAUCACGCAGAACUCCGAUUGCGAAGGCAGCAUACCGGCGCUAAACUGACGCUGAGGCACGAAAGCGUGGGGAUCGAACAGGAUUAGAUACCCGUGUAGUC
This 460-nucleotide ribosomal RNA is filed under the name uncultured bacterium. RNAcentral describes it as "partial 16S ribosomal RNA". It matches the Rfam family "Bacterial small subunit ribosomal RNA", at positions 338 to 795 of the family's 1533-position model. The record is from RNAcentral.